AAACCAGCACCUCAAGUGGUCAGGAGGAUUAUUGGGCCUAAAGCAUCCGUAGCCUGUUCCGUAAGUUUUCGGUUAAAUCCAUUAGCUCAACUAAUGGGCCGCCGAAAAUACUGUAGAACUAGGGAGUGGGAGAGGUAGACGGUAUUCGGUAGGAAGGGGUAAAAUCCUUUGAUCUAUUGAGGACCACCUGUGGCGAAGGCGGUCUACCAGAACACGUUCGACGGUGAGGGAUGAAAGCUGGGGGAGCAAACCGGAUUAGAAACCCCGGUAGUCC
This 274-nucleotide ribosomal RNA is filed under the name uncultured bacterium. RNAcentral describes it as "partial 16S ribosomal RNA". It matches the Rfam family "Archaeal small subunit ribosomal RNA", at positions 473 to 747 of the family's 1478-position model. The record is from RNAcentral.